RNAcentral lists this transfer RNA (72 nucleotides) under Schistosoma japonicum. RNAcentral's name for it is "tRNA-His". The record is from RNAcentral. Lineage: Eukaryota; Metazoa; Platyhelminthes; Trematoda; Strigeidida; Schistosomatidae.
GACUCAGUGGUUUAGUGGUUAAGCGUUCGUCUGUGAGACAGAGGGUCUUGCGUUCGACCCCCGACGGGGUCG